GGACAGAAACUGAAUUCCGCUUGUUAUUAACCUCUCCCCUUCCCUGGGCUGUGCCUUUCACCCGAACUCUGGUCCCGCCUUUCUCUGACACUCAGUUCAUUGGUUAUAUAUUUCCUAACGUUUGGCCUUUUAUCUCUCUCCUUCUCUGAGUGCCUUUUUCACAAGUGAAUUCUUUGGUUCAACAAGUCUCCAUGAAACACAUGCUUGGCAUAAUGCUGGGCCCCAGCAAACCUGAGGUUAUCCUUGUGUUAUCCUCACUCUAUCAAUGAAGGGACAGAAGAUCACCGACUCCUGAGAGCUCCCCGUUACCAAUACCGUCUGCACUGACUAGUGAAGAGAUUUUCAGCUUCAAGCAGCCACAAAGCCUCCCAAGCUGGAUUCAGGAAUUGAGAGAAUGAUUGGUUUGUACAAAUGAAAGAAGCAGGAUGAACCUCGGGUUUCACCCGAGUUGAGUCUGCUCUCAGAACAGGGAUGCCCACUGCCCUGUCCAGUACCAAAUGCUUCUGAGUGAAAGAAAGGAGCCUCUUCUCUGCCAGUGGAGGGAAGUUCUGGGCUGUCCCUCUGGCGCUGUGGCCUCUCGAUCCCCAGCCAGACACUGCUGCAGGAGAAUGGUGAGCUGAGAGGUAACUGGUUCCUCCUCUCAGGCUCUGGGGGAGUCUGUGCUGGAGAACUUGCUGGGAUGAUAUUUGCCAACACGCAGCACAGUGCAGGCCUGCAGACGUGCUGACAGAGGCCGAUUCCUGCUACGACUGUAACUACUUUGUUUCAUAUUCAUGCAUUCAAUACGUAGUCAGUCAUUCAUUCAACAAACACUCGCUGUGCGCACACAGUCAAUGUUCCCAGCACUGUUCCAAGGGCUCAGGAGAGUGUGGUAAACAAAAUGAAACAAAAUCUCUGCUUUCCUGACGCUCUCGUCCCACAAGCAAUGAAUAAAUACACACCUAAUAAAAUUGGAAUAAGAAUAGGGGUGGGUGGGGCUGAGCGGAAUUCUCCGUGUACAGAGCGGCCAGAAAGCAGCGUGUGAGCAGAAGACAGGACAGAGUGAGCCCGGGCCGAGGACAGAAGGGACAGAAGCACCGUGGAGCUCUGUGUUUGCUUUCGGCCCAGGGUCUGCAGAGGUCUGGCGAGGUGCGGGCCGUUUCCAAGGUGGACAAUUCCUGCCAAAUGCCUCGGAGCCACCUCGAGUGUCUUGAGGCCCAGCCACGGCCUUAGCAAUAAAGCUGCUUCUGCUCCCUCCAGCCCUGCACGCUAAUGCUCCCGACCCUUCCUGUGGGAGAGAGGCUCGAGGGGGCAGCAGGGCUGCGGGAUCAGAAC
Long non-coding RNA from Heterocephalus glaber (naked mole-rat), 1314 nucleotides. RefSeq lists it as uncharacterized. The record is from RefSeq and is a predicted model, not a curated record. Lineage: Eukaryota; Metazoa; Chordata; Mammalia; Rodentia; Bathyergidae.